CUUGUAGGUAAAUGGCAUCUCCUAGCCAAGAUGAUAGCUUUGAUUCUAAUGAACCUAAAUGGAAGAAAGGUGUAGUUAUUAUGAAGAAAAUCAUUCGAGCUAGAAGUGAAGGAAAAAAAUAGAUGUUUCAUGGAAUGCAAAGGGUCAACCAAUUGAACCUGGUGGAACAAUAUUCAUUAGUUAUCUCGGGUCCAUUGUCCGAUCUAACAUUCCUAUAACAUGUGAUAAUUGGAAAGUUUCGACUCUAAGUGCCUAUAAGAACAUGGUUUGGAAGGAUAUACAAUUAACUUUUAAUGUUGAUGUAUCACACAAGAAACAUGUACUAAAGGUGGCAGGUAAAUUGCUUAGGAAUUUUAGAACUUACUUGGCUAAUUGUUAUCUAAAGGAUUAGAAUGGAAAUUAUUUAGAUAGUCCACCUAUUCAACCUCCUGAGCAGUAUGCAUCCAUGAUCACUGAGGAUGUUUGGAGAAAAUUUGUUGCAAAACGUAUGGAUGAAUCUUUUCAGGAAAUAAGCAAAAAAAACAAGGAGAGGGCAUCACACUCUAAUAAGUACCCUUAUAGGGCCUCACGUAAGGGGUAUGCACGCCUCGAGCAAGAAAUGAUAAAGAAAUCAGGAUCAAAUGUUACAAGUGUUCCCCGUCAAGAAUUGUGGAAGAAUGCUCGUGUGAACAAAGCUGGAGAAAUUGAAAAUGAAAAUGUUCAACAAGUAUGGGAU
Molecule: non-coding RNA, 715 nt
Organism: Cajanus cajan (pigeon pea)
Lineage: Eukaryota; Viridiplantae; Streptophyta; Magnoliopsida; Fabales; Fabaceae
Source: RefSeq, a predicted model, not a curated record